UACAGAGGUGGCAAGCGUUGUUCGGAAUUACUGGGCGUAAAGGGCGCGUAGGCGGUUUUGUAAGUCAGACGUGAAAUCCCCAGGCUUAACUGGGGAACUGCGUCUGAGACUGGAUGGCUCGAGUGCAGGAGAGGAACGCGGAAUUCCAGGUGUAGCGGUGAAAUGCGUAGAUAUCUGGAGGAACACCGGUGGCGAAGGCGGCGUUCUGGACUGCAACUGACACUGAGGAACGAAAGCCAGGGGAGCAAACGGG
Molecule: ribosomal RNA, 253 nt
Filed under: uncultured bacterium
Lineage: Bacteria
Description: partial 16S ribosomal RNA
Rfam family: Bacterial small subunit ribosomal RNA
Source: RNAcentral